CUCAUGUUGUGAAUACUGGCAAAAGUAAGAACUGUAGACUUCUACCUACUCACAUUAAAGAGCUGCCUGUUGCAGAUACAAGACGGAUGCUGGUUUUUGUGCAGACAUGACACAAAUGCAUAGCUGUUGUGCCUUUUAAUGUAUGUGUUUGAAAGGAUUAAUCAUUGUUUGUUUCAUAUGACUAUCUUACCGACAUGGACUGAUGUUCAGAAAUUUUUGUGCAGAGGCAGUCCAGCACUAAACAACACUAAUUCAAAAUGGCUACACAAUUAGGAGCAUUCAUACCACAUUAUUUUUUAUUGCAAACUGGGCCACGAGAGAUAUGAGAGAGGAAUGCUGCUCCAGGAAAGAAGACACAACUCGCCAUGUAUCUUAUCCAGAUACAGAUUGGGCAAUCCUUCCAGAAUAUUGGUUCUACAAAGCCCAUUGCUGUGAUCUCAUCAUUCACCCUGAUGGUUUUGGUCUUAUGGGAAGUGGAGUCCCCAGAUCGCCUGCUCUGCUACAGAGCAGUGGCUCUGGUACAUUUCCAUAUCUAAUUCAGAUCAACCCUUGUCAUGUUUGAUGAAAACCAGGCUACAGUACUUGCAAUAAGUUUGACUUCCCCAAUAACUCUGAAACAUUUUCUCCUUGCACAACUAGUAUACUGUAUCAGCAUCCACAGUGGGUGGUAAGCAUUGUAUCUUGAAGUUGCUACAUUUCUUUCAAUAUCUCUCCUCCAAAUUGUCAAGAAUGGAUCUCUUAUUCAUACAAGGCAUUGAUGACGGAGAACCAUAAACCAGGACUCAGUGAUUAGUGGGAAGCAUAUGGUCAUGGUGGGUGGCAUCACUUUUCCUUCCUCUUCUGGAUGCCUAAAUCACUAGGAUUGUCUUUGUAGCCUUUUGGGUGCUUAAAGACUUAUCUGCAGCACUCAGAUUAAACUUGUGUGUGGUGUAAAUAUGUCUCUCCAGUGCUUGGUUCAGGGAAUUUAUUUCCAUUGUAUUGUCUUCCCUCCUGCUGGAGACACCGCCUAGAGGCAAGCUCUCUGCUGCACUACCUUCCUUUAUUGUGUGGUGUAAUGCGUGUAGUCAUCUCCCACAAUUUUAGCUCUGCGCUGAUUACACAGUUUUCAGGUCAGAUGCAAGCAAAUCUUGUUCUGUUUAAAGGAUCUAAUUUAACUUCUGCUGCAAAAUAUUCAGGGCAUGAAUUUGUAGUAAAUAAUGUCAGCCAGUCCAGAUGUAUAAAUUAGGUUUAAAAGGUGGAUUUUUAACAUCUAAGAUGGCUUUGAGUUUCUGGCUUUGUCGCUCCUAGUCAGCAUAGGCAGCCCAUGGUCUGGCAGAGGCAGGAGUGCCUCACCCUGAAAUUUUCUCUCCUACCACAAGUGGUCUGAACAUACUAAUGGUAGAAACCUUCUCAGUUCCUACUAGUGUAUUGUUUUCAAUGUGCCACUGCAUGUAUUGACAUGUGCAUACACACACCAUACCGUAUAUGCAUGCGUGCGUGCACAUGCAUACACACACACACACACACACACAGACCAUACCAUAUAUGCAUGCACACGUACACACACACACACAUGCACAGAGUAAGAGAAUAUUAGUGUCUGAUAUUCAGCCUCCUUUAUAAAAACUCCCUUCAAAGAGGCAAAAAAAAAAUGGUGACUUGACACUAAUCAUUUUUUCUUAUUCAGAUCAAUGGAAAAAUGUACAGCAAUAUUUGUAGAUGUUUUUCAUAUGCUGAUUAAAAUAGAUGAAUGUGACCAAUAGAGGAAAAAGCAUUUGUAUGUUAAAAGGUUUCUUAUGUUUCCCGUUUCAAGUAAAUGAGAUUUGGUUACAGUUUUUCCAUAGAAUGGUUAUUUAUUAAUACCGUAAUAAUAGUUACUUGCCAACAAUAGUCAUGAGUGCUAUUUUUAUUCACAGGUGUACUAUGAGUAUGAAACUCCUGCGUACACAGGACAUACUAGGACCUUGUCUUAUAAUUAGGAGAGCAGGCAUUUAUGCAGGGCACAAAAAUAUUCACCCCAGGGAGAGAGAAAAAUAUUUUCAGUGUGGGCUUUUGUUUGUUCCCAUGAAGUUGCUCAUUAUUUCUUUCUCCAUGAAUAGCCAGCAACACAUUUAAAUGUAAUAAGAAAGUAUGUUCUCUUACAAGCAUCUAGUGAGUACCUUGCUAAUUUUCAAACAACCCUUGUCCAUGAAAUAACCAAAGCAGAGUGGUCUUAACCGACCAGAUAGGCGGGAUAUAAAUAAAAUAAAUAAAAAUAAAAUAAAUAAAUGUUCC
RNAcentral lists this long non-coding RNA (2253 nucleotides) under Pogona vitticeps (central bearded dragon). Its description in RNAcentral is "lncRNA (ENSPVIG00000010393.1)". Lineage: Eukaryota; Metazoa; Chordata; Lepidosauria; Squamata; Agamidae. The record is from RNAcentral.